RNAcentral lists this ribosomal RNA (956 nucleotides) under Arthrobacter cupressi. RNAcentral's name for it is "bacterial SSU rRNA". It matches the Rfam family "Bacterial small subunit ribosomal RNA", at positions 55 to 1020 of the family's 1533-position model. Lineage: Bacteria; Bacillati; Actinomycetota; Actinomycetes; Micrococcales; Micrococcaceae. The record is from RNAcentral.
AUGCAAGUCGAACGAUGAAGCCAGCUUGCUGGUGGAUUAGUGGCGAACGGGUGAGUAACACGUGAGUAACCUGCCCUUGACUCUGGGAUAAGCCUGGGAAACUGGGUCUAAUACCGGAUACGACUCCUCAUCGCAUGGUGGGGGGUGGAAAGCCUUGUGCGGUUUUGGAUGGACUCGCGGCCUAUCAGCUUGUUGGUGGGGUAAUGGCCUACCAAGGCGACGACGGGUAGCCGGCCUGAGAGGGUGACCGGCCACACUGGGACUGAGACACGGCCCAGACUCCUACGGGAGGCAGCAGUGGGGAAUAUUGCACAAUGGGCGAAAGCCUGAUGCAGCGACGCCGCGUGAGGGAUGACGGCCUUCGGGUUGUAAACCUCUUUCAGUAGGGAAGAAGCCUUCGGGUGACGGUACCUGCAGAAGAAGCGCCGGCUAACUACGUGCCAGCAGCCGCGGUAAUACGUAGGGCGCAAGCGUUAUCCGGAAUUAUUGGGCGUAAAGAGCUCGUAGGCGGUUUGUCGCGUCUGCUGUGAAAGACCGGGGCUCAACCCCGGUUCUGCAGUGGGUACGGGCAGACUAGAGUGAUGUAGGGGAGACUGGAAUUCCUGGUGUAGCGGUGAAAUGCGCAGAUAUCAGGAGGAACACCGAUGGCGAAGGCAGGUCUCUGGGCAUUAACUGACGCUGAGGAGCGAAAGCAUGGGGAGCGAACAGGAUUAGAUACCCUGGUAGUCCAUGCCGUAAACGUUGGGCACUAGGUGUGGGGGACAUUCCACGUUUUCCGCGCCGUAGCUAACGCAUUAAGUGCCCCGCCUGGGGAGUACGGCCGCAAGGCUAAAACUCACAGGAAUUGACGGGGGCCCGCACAAGCGGCGGAGCAUGCGGAUUAAUUCGAUGCAACGCGAAGAACCUUACCAAGGCUUGACAUGGACCGGAAAGGCGCAGAGAUGCGUCCCCCGCUU